GGUGGUAUAGUAUAGUGGAUAGUACAACACGUUGUGGACACAUACUGGUACCGUGUAGACCUGGGUUCGAUUCCCAGUACCGCCA
This 85-nucleotide transfer RNA is filed under the name Hypoxylon cercidicola. RNAcentral's name for it is "tRNA-His". It matches the Rfam family "tRNA". From Rfam's summary of the family: Transfer RNA (tRNA) molecules are approximately 80 nucleotides in length. Their secondary structure includes four short double-helical elements and three loops (D, anti-codon, and T loops). The record is from RNAcentral. Lineage: Eukaryota; Fungi; Ascomycota; Sordariomycetes; Xylariales; Hypoxylaceae.